Molecule: non-coding RNA, 113 nt
Organism: Acanthosepion pharaonis
Lineage: Eukaryota; Metazoa; Mollusca; Cephalopoda; Sepiida; Sepiidae
Source: the annotation of a GenBank genome assembly
UUACGGCCACAUCACGUUGAAACACCGGUUGCUGUACGAUCAUCGAAGUUAAGCAACGUCGAAUUUGGUUAGUACCUACAUGGGUGAUUGUUUGGGAAUAUCAGGUGCUGUAA